AGUGAACGCUGGCGGUAGGCCUAACACAUGCAAGUCGAACGGCAGCACAGUAAGAGCUUGCUCUUACGGGUGGCGAGUGGCGGACGGGUGAGGAAUACAUCGGAAUCUACUUUUUCGUGGGGGAUAACGUAGGGAAACUUACGCUAAUACCGCAUACGACCUACGGGUGAAAGCAGGGGAUCUUCGGACCUUGUGCGAUUGUAUGAGCCGAUGUCGGAUUAGCUAGUUGGCGGGGUAAAGGCCCACCAAGGGGACGAUCCGUAGCUGGUCUGAGAGGAUGAGCCGCCACACUGGAACUGAGACACGGUCCAGACUCCUACGGGAGGCAGCAGUGGGGAAUAUUGGACAAUGGGCGCAAGCCUGAUCCAGCCAUACCGCGUGGGUGAAGAAGGCCUUCGGGUUGUAAAGCCCUUUUGUUUGGAAAGAAAAGCAGCAGGUUAAUACCCCGCUGUUCUGACGGUACCCAAAGAAUAAGCACCGGCUAACUUCGUG
RNAcentral lists this ribosomal RNA (492 nucleotides) under uncultured bacterium. RNAcentral's name for it is "partial 16S ribosomal RNA". It matches the Rfam family "Bacterial small subunit ribosomal RNA", at positions 29 to 507 of the family's 1533-position model. The record is from RNAcentral.